UUGGGUCUGAAUCAAGCCUAGCUAUUUGCUGAAGCUGUUGGUUUCAAGGAGGAACCCAAAGAAAUAUCGUUCUAUGGUCUAAUGAACAUUUCAAAGUUCCCAGAACUUUGGAAAUAUAAUGGUCAAUGCAUUGGGAACAAAUACCA
Molecule: small nucleolar RNA, 146 nt
Organism: Oryctolagus cuniculus (rabbit)
Lineage: Eukaryota; Metazoa; Chordata; Mammalia; Lagomorpha; Leporidae
Source: Ensembl